GUGAUUCAUCCUAUUCAUUUAUUCAAUGAGAAUAUCUCGAUGGUGCAUGUAUGAAUAAUAAUAAUAACAAUAAUACAAAUAUUUGAGUCCAUUCUAAUAAUCUACUGCUUUUAUCUUUAAAGGGGUCAUCGGAUGCAAAACUCACUUUUAUAUGUUGAACAUAAAUGUGUAUUAGCAGUUAGGUACACAACCACAAUAUAAUGAUAAAAAUCCACCCAGUGGUCUUUUUUAAACUCAGCAGUUAAAUAAUAUCCCCUUUUUCAAAUCAAGCCAUUCUCAGCUUCUUGGCUGUGUGACAUCACACAGACCAUGGCUGCUCCCACGAUAGUUGAAUGACACUACCAUCUUACUUUAGACCCACCCUGAGUGAGCUGUGAACAGUCCGCCAUUGUUUUGACGCCGGAGCAGAGUCAUAGACAAGAACGGCUCCUAAGCGAUUGAGGGAAUGCUCCCACUGAACUAUCUAAAUGCAUCUAUGUUUGCACAAAUCAUUCGUGAUCCAGCUUCACCUACAGAUGAAAAUUUUCUCCCUUUUGCAUACUCUAAAUUGUCACCGGGCAUG
This is a long non-coding RNA of Cyprinus carpio carpio, 562 nucleotides long. Lineage: Eukaryota; Metazoa; Chordata; Actinopteri; Cypriniformes; Cyprinidae. The record is from Ensembl.